GCCCCCAUCGUCUAACGGUUAGGACACCACUCUUUCAAGGUGGUAAUACCGGUUCGACUCCGGUUGGGGGCG
Molecule: transfer RNA, 72 nt
Filed under: Candidatus Parcubacteria bacterium
Lineage: Bacteria; Candidatus Parcubacteria
Description: tRNA-Glu
Rfam family: tRNA
About the family: Transfer RNA (tRNA) molecules are approximately 80 nucleotides in length.
Source: RNAcentral